GAUGAAGAACGCAGUGAAAUGCGAUAAGUAAUGUGAAUUGCAGAAUUCAGUGAAUCAUCGAAUCUUUGAACGCACAUUGCGCCCGCCAGUAUUCUGGCGGGCAUGCCUGUUCGAGCGUCAUUUCAACCAUCAAGCCCCAGGCUUGUGUUGGGGACCUGCGGCUGCCGCAGGCCCUGAAAACCAGUGGCGGGCUCGCUGUCACACCGGGCGUAGUAGAUUUUAUCUCGCUCAGGGCGUGCUGUGGGUUCCGGCCGUUAAAAAGCCUUUUUUACCCAAGGUUGACCUCGGAUCAGGUAGGAAGACCCGCUGAACUUAAGCAUAUCAAUAAGCGGAGGA
Molecule: unclassified non-coding RNA, 336 nt
Filed under: soil metagenome
Description: partial contains 5.8S ribosomal RNA, internal transcribed spacer 2, and large subunit ribosomal RNA
Rfam family: 5.8S ribosomal RNA (bases 1-120)
Source: RNAcentral